AGAGUUUGAUCCUGGCUCAGGACGAACGCUGGCGGCGUGCUUAACACAUGCAAGUCGAACGGUGACGAUCAAGCUUGCUUGGUCUGAUCAGUGGCGAACGGGUGAGUAACACGUGAGUAACCUGCCCCAGACUCUGGGAUAACCCCGGGAAACCGGAGCUAAUACCGGAUAUGACACCAACGGGCAUUCGUAUGGUGUGGAAAGUUUUUCGGUCUGGGAUGGACUCGCGGCCUAUCAGCUUGUUGGUGAGGUAGUGGCUCACCAAGGCGACGACGGGUAGCCGGCCUGAGAGGGCGACCGGCCACACUGGGACUGAGACACGGCCCAGACUCCUACGGGAGGCAGCAGUGGGGAAUAUUGCACAAUGGGCGAAAGCCUGAUGCAGCGACGCCGCGUGAGGGAUGACGGCCUUCGGGUUGUAAACCUCUUUCAGCAGGGAAGAAGCGCAAGUGACGGUACCUGCAGAAGAAGCACCGGCUAACUACGUGCCAGCAGCCGCGGUA
This 503-nucleotide ribosomal RNA is filed under the name uncultured Actinomycetes bacterium. RNAcentral's name for it is "bacterial SSU rRNA". It matches the Rfam family "Bacterial small subunit ribosomal RNA", at positions 8 to 522 of the family's 1533-position model. Lineage: Bacteria; Bacillati; Actinomycetota; Actinomycetes. The record is from RNAcentral.